UACGAAGGGGGCUAGCGUUGUUCGGAAUUACUGGGCGUAAAGCGUGCGCAGGCGGCUUCUCAAGUCAGGGGUGAAAGCCCAGAGCUCAACUCUGGAAUUGCCUUUGAGACUGAGUGGCUUGAGUACGAGAGAGGUGAGUGGAAUUCCCAGUGUAGAGGUGAGAUUCGUAGAUAUUGGGAAGAACACCGGUGGCGAAGGCGGCUCACUGGCUCGUAACUGACGCUCAUGCACGACAGCGUGGGGAUCAAACAGG
This 253-nucleotide ribosomal RNA is filed under the name uncultured bacterium. Its description in RNAcentral is "partial 16S ribosomal RNA". It matches the Rfam family "Bacterial small subunit ribosomal RNA", at positions 524 to 776 of the family's 1533-position model. The record is from RNAcentral.